Molecule: ribosomal RNA, 520 nt
Filed under: Okapia johnstoni (okapi)
Lineage: Eukaryota; Metazoa; Chordata; Mammalia; Artiodactyla; Giraffidae
Description: partial 16S ribosomal RNA
Rfam family: Bacterial large subunit ribosomal RNA
Source: RNAcentral
CAGCAUUACUAGUAUUGGAGGCACUGCCUGCCCAGUGACAUCCGUUAAACGGCCGCGGUAUCCUGACCGUGCAAAGGUAGCAUAAUCACUUGUUCUCUAAAUAAGGACUUGUAUGAAUGGCCACACGAGGGUUUUACUGUCUCUUACUUCCAAUCAGUGAAAUUGACCUCCCCGUGAAGAGGCGGGAAUAGACCAAUAAGACGAGAAGACCCUAUGGAGCUUCAACUAACUAGCCCAAAGAAAACAAACUCAAUCACCAAGAGACAACAACACUCUCCAUGGGCCAGCAGUUUCGGUUGGGGUGACCUCGGAGAACAAAAAAUCCUCCGAGCGAUUUUCAAGACAAGACCCACAGGUCAAAUCACACUAUCGCUCAUUGAUCCAAAAAUUUGAUCAACGGAACAAGUUACCCUAGGGAUAACAGCGCAAUCCUAUUCAAGAGUCCAUAUCGACAAUAGGGUUUACGACCUCGAUGUUGGAUCAGGACAUCCCGAUGGUGCAGCCGCUAUCAAAGGUUCGU